UUCAUCCCUUCUUCAGGGAGUUUAUUUUUAGAGGACUCAAGCAUGUCUAUUUGAAACAGUGAACACUGAACAGUCUCAAACCGCCAGUCGACGCUAUGGAAGAAGUUGAAGAGCCCAAGCAGAAGGACAGGAGUAGAAAAAAGCAGCUUUAUGCUUCUAUCAGAAACCUUAUGGAGUUUUACUUCAGCCCUUCGAAUCUUGCCAAAAAUAAUAUGACUGCCGAGUUGCUGAAAACCAAAGGGAGCAUCGAAUUGACUGAAUUCCUCAGUUAUAACAAGAUACGCGCUUUGACGAAUAAUAUCAAAGACCUGCGGAAGGCACUCAAGCAUUCAACUGAGCUGGAAGUUACCGAUGAAAUGAAAGUUAAGCCUAAAAAUCUUGUAAUGAAAGACAACAUUGACGAGUGCACCAUUUAUGUUGAACAUGUGCCACCUGAUGCUGAUCAUGACUGGCUUAAAGAACAAUUUUCCAUUUAUGGCUCUGUUGAUUAUAUUUCCAUUCCUAAAUACAGCAGUUCUAAGAAAUGUAAAGGAUUUGCUUUUAUUGAAUUUUCCAAACCAGAGUUUGCUGAAAAAGCUGUGGAGGAAUACAAAAAGGUUGGAAGUUAUUUAUCGACAGCUGAAAUGGACCCUAAACAUUUAUUAAGUAUAGCAACUUACGAAACAAAAUCUGAAGGGCAAUUAUUAAAAGAAAAUGCAAAUGUCGCUUCACAGCCUUGCGAAACAAAGAAAAGAAAAGCAGACAAAACUCCUGAACAUCACGAGGAAGAAGUUAAAGCAAAAAAGCAAAAAGCAAAUUUUCAACCUGAAACUGAAGAGGCCGAUAAGCUCCAAGAAGAAGUUGCUGAAGGUGAAGAAGUUACAGAAGAGGUUAGAAAAAAGAAAAACCGAAACAAGAAAAAGAAAGCAAAGAAGGCUAAAGUAACGGCUGAAACAUCUGGUUUCCAAAUUUUGUCAAAGAAGGAUUGGAAACACCUAAGAAAUAAAUACCUGAUGACGCAAAGGGAAAAAACUACUAUGUUGAAACAGCACUUAAGACAGUUAAAACAAAAACAACAAGACCAUACAGCAAAUAAAUACAGAGAACAAGAGGAAAAUAAUCAUAAUAUUAAUCAAAAGAAUAGUAAUAGUACCAUCCCCAGUGAAUUUACCCCUGGUAUAAUUGUAAAGAUCAACAUGAAUGAACCUGUUAUUAGCAGAAAACAAUUUAAAGAUGAAAUUAAUGUCGUAAGCUCCGCAGUAAAAUACGUUGAUGUAAAGGAAGGAGCGAUGACAGUGUACGUCAGGCUAAAAACAGAAGAAGACACCAGAAAAUUUUGUGAAGAUGCACCAUGGCAAGAAGUUGAAAUUUUAAAGGGCGAAGAAGAGCUGGAGUAUUGGAAAAGAAUUCAGAAAGACAGGGAAGAAAAAUUAAACAAGCCAAAAGUAAAACAGAGAGGAAAAGAAAAGCUAUUUAAAAAAGCUGAGAAAGUACUUGGCCACCAUAUAACAUUUAAUUGAAAAUUAUACCUGAAAAUAAUCGUAAGAGAGAAAAGUGCUGAAUCAAUUAUAAAAUUCAAUGAUAGGCUAGCCAGGAAGAUCAGAGCUGAAACACACCACCCAAUAUGGAAAAUGCUGAGAAUGGGCAAACUGAAAGGACAACCAAGCUGUAAAAAAAUAAGGUUUAAAAAAUUUACAAUCAAUUUCAAUCUAAAAUUCAUCUUUUUGCUAUUCUUCCUAUUGUACUACUCAACCUAUAAGUCUAGAAACAACCUUAAUGAAACUAUAUUCUACUUCGUAAGUCACGAAUCUUGGAUCAUGGAAAAAGUAAAAUAAGGUUUGGAACAAAGGGUAAUCUGAAAGAGCGAGAUAUGGCCUGUGUGUUGGGCAAAGAGGUAUCAAAUUACUGUUGAUUAAUUUUGAGAUAUUUGUUGUAACAUCACACUGUCAGUUAGGCUUUUUUUUCUUGGCAUAAUUCUUUGUUUGAAAACAUAAUAAAGCAAAUUUUGUGGCAACCUAGGAAGAUAGUUUAAGGAAUCCGAAGUACUGAGCCAGAAAUGUUUUUUU
Molecule: unclassified non-coding RNA, 2045 nt
Filed under: Cimex lectularius (bed bug)
Lineage: Eukaryota; Metazoa; Arthropoda; Insecta; Hemiptera; Cimicidae
Description: la-related protein 7, transcript variant X1
Source: RNAcentral